Mus caroli (Ryukyu mouse) is the source of this 718-nucleotide RNA transcript. It is a transcript of the gene named small ubiquitin-related modifier 1 pseudogene, with no coding region annotated. The record is from RefSeq and is a predicted model, not a curated record. NCBI's taxonomy places the organism in Eukaryota, Metazoa, Chordata, Mammalia, Rodentia, Muridae.
GCUAUUGCGAAGAGACGGAUUAGUAAACAAAGUUCUACCUGCCCCGCUGCAGGUGGCUGUUAUGGAGACCCUUUGGGGAGGCCAUUGUCGCCAUGUUUGACCAGGAGGCUAAACCUUCAAGUGGUGUCUUAAAGGAUGAGAAGAAAGAUUUUAUUAAAGUCAAAGUUAUUGGAGAAGAUGGAAGUGAGAUACACUUCAGACUGAAAAUGACAACAAGGCUCAAGAAACUUAAGGACUCAUAUAGUCGAAGACUGGAUCUGUCAGUGAAUUCACUGAAGUUUCUCUUUGAAGGCCAGAAGAUUGCCGAUGACCAUACUGCAGAAGAGCUGGGGAUGGAGGAGGAAGACGUGAUCGAAGUCCAUCAGGAACAAACGGGAGGUGGAGUGUCGUCAGUCGGCAGUUUAGGAAGAUCUGACGGAAAUCUAUCUGGAAAAAUAGGAAAUCAUCAAACAGUUUAGAUGUUCUUGGGCAAGGUGGAAAUUUUCAGAGAAUUGAACCUUGACGUGUGAUCUUGCCUCAGAUUGAAGCUGCUUCUAAAGUCUGAGGGUCUGGUCCAAGAGCAGAGUAUUGGCUUUGGAGUCGUGAUGACAGAUACGGCAAGAGUCACAACUGACUGCCAAGACUGCUCACUGAAGAGAGAGCAUCUCAGGAUUAAAUUUGUUUUGUCACGUGAGCCCAGAAUGUUCUAAUUUUCAUCAGCAGUUAAUAAUAAAGUUAU